CAAGGGAGGUAAAGGAACAGAAGGGCAGAUAGAGUCAGUACAGCAUCAGUAUCCUCCGGGAAUGCGACCUGAUCACUGGCAUACCACGAUCUCUAUAGGGACCAGCACGGGCGCAAUCGCAUGGAGCCAGAGUUUCAAACGCAGCACAUCCAACAGAUCACUGGAUAAGACACACGGCGCCUCUUCGUUCCUCUACAGACCUCUAGAGUGGGUAAACCAUGGGUAAGAAAGUCUUGCAGUGUUUUCCUUGGUACAAACGCUGUAAAGACCGGGGUAAAAGCAGGCUGUGCCCUCCUCCGCCUGUGCCAUCUGUUGAGGUGCAACCUGGCUUCUCUCCGACAGUCUCCUGGGGUUACGACGGAGAGGAAAGCGCCGCACGUCCCGUUUAUUUUUCCCAUAAGGCGCGAGUAGUUUAUCGCCACCAGAUGGAUGGCAAUAUUAUCGACGCCACCUGCUGACCGCUGGGCUUCUUUCCCAGAAUCCCUUGCCUUGUACCUGGCUGUAGACGUCCAGUGUAGAGGAGCAUCGUAGCAGCCUACUAGACUGUUCCGUCCUGUGUAAUUAAACUAAAUCUUUUGUAUUUAGUAAAGAUGUCACAGUGUGUCCUCUGGUUCCUCCAUCCUCUCCCCAUACCUGGCAUUCACCUGUCUUGUACUUACUGUGUUGAAAUAUAAUAUAAUGUUUCAAGGCAGACAGAGUGAUGUAGGCCACAUGGAAUGGAAAAACAGGAACUGAGCUGGAUUUUAUAAAUACAAAUUUAAUAUGUGUUUUGUCAUGCAAUGUAUGUUUGCCUAUUGCUUUUCAGAGGACAAACCAUUUUUUCAGAGGUUCAUGAAUGCAUUUCAGGCAAAAGAUAAAAUGUUGUACUAAUCAAUGGAAUUAUAAUAUAAAAUGUAUGUGCAUUUAGUAAUUGU
This is a long non-coding RNA of Sinocyclocheilus anshuiensis, 914 nucleotides long. RefSeq lists it as uncharacterized. NCBI's taxonomy places the organism in Eukaryota, Metazoa, Chordata, Actinopteri, Cypriniformes, Cyprinidae. The transcript has 3 exons. The record is from RefSeq and is a predicted model, not a curated record.